Molecule: ribosomal RNA, 252 nt
Filed under: uncultured bacterium
Lineage: Bacteria
Description: partial 16S ribosomal RNA
Rfam family: Bacterial small subunit ribosomal RNA
Source: RNAcentral
UACGUAGGGUGCAAACGUAUCCGGAAUUAUUGGGCGUAAAGAGCUCGUAGGCGGUUUGUCGCGUCUGCUGUGAAAACCGGAGGCUCAACCUCCGGCCUGCAGUGGGUACGGGCAAACUAGAGUGCGGUAGGGGAGAUUGGAAUUCCUGGUGUAGCGGUGGAAUGCGCAGAUAUCAGGAGGAACACCGAUGGCGAAGGCAGAUCUCUGGGCCGUAACUGACGCUGAGGAGCGAAAGCGUGGGGAGCGAACAGG